This 528-nucleotide ribosomal RNA is filed under the name Babesia sp. deer clade. Its description in RNAcentral is "SSU rRNA". It matches the Rfam family "Eukaryotic small subunit ribosomal RNA", at positions 512 to 1092 of the family's 1831-position model. Lineage: Eukaryota; Apicomplexa; Aconoidasida; Piroplasmida; Babesiidae. The record is from RNAcentral.
GAUGAUGGUGACCUAAACCCUCACCAGAGUAACAAUUGGAGGGCAAGUCUGGUGCCAGCAGCCGCGGUAAUUCCAGCUCCAAUAGCGUAUAUUAAACUUGUUGCAGUUAAAAAGCUCGUAGUUGAAUUUUUGCGUCACCGUGUAUCGACAUUUGUCGUUUAUCGGUUUCGCUUUUGGGAUUUAUCCCUUUUUACUUUGAGAAAAUUAGAGUGUUUCAAGCAGACUUUUGUCUUGAAUACUUCAGCAUGGAAUAAUAGAGUAGGACUUUGGUUCUAUUUUGUUGGUUUGUGAACCUUAGUAAUGGUUAAUAGGAACGGUUGGGGGCAUUCGUAUUUAACUGUCAGAGGUGAAAUUCUUAGAUUUGUUAAAGACGAACUACUGCGAAAGCAUUUGCCAAGGACGUUUUCAUUAAUCAAGAACGAAAGUUAGGGGAUCGAAGACGAUCAGAUACCGUCGUAGUCCUAACCAUAAACUAUGCCGACUAGGGAUUGGAGGUCGUCAUUUUUCCGACUCCUUCAGCACCUUGAG